RNAcentral lists this long non-coding RNA (420 nucleotides) under Homo sapiens (human). RNAcentral describes it as "HSALNT0296927". The record is from RNAcentral. Lineage: Eukaryota; Metazoa; Chordata; Mammalia; Primates; Hominidae.
GGUGGGUAGGGCAGCACUCACUGCCUGUGAUCAUCAGUGUCCUUGUUCUGCUCCCUCCUCUCACCCACCCCACCCCUGCCAAGGCCUCCCUAGCCCUUCAACUGUGAGGCUUUGGGAGGUCUCAGGCUCAGCAUAUCUCUUUCAAAGAAGACUUCCUGACAGAAGACCAUCUGUUCCUCUUUACCAUGAAGUCAUAGUACUAUAUUUGUGACAGCACAAUCAUUUCCAUGGCAACAGGAUGUGGUCCUCAUCACUGAAUCCUGAUUUCACUCUGACAAAGAUCAAGCAGCAGGGGAUUGGCGUUGCGUCCAUGUAGACCUGAGACCCCCUGGCUAUGUGUCUCAGGAUGUGUCCUUCAGUUCUGCCUCCUGAGCCUCAAGACAGUCUCACUCUGUUGCCCAGGCUGGAGUGCAGUGGCGC